This 200-nucleotide ribosomal RNA is filed under the name uncultured bacterium. RNAcentral's name for it is "partial 16S ribosomal RNA". It matches the Rfam family "Bacterial small subunit ribosomal RNA", at positions 524 to 723 of the family's 1533-position model. The record is from RNAcentral.
UACGGAGGGUGCGAGCGUUAAUCGGAAUGACUGGGCGUAAAGCGCGCGUAGGUGGUUAGUUAAGUUGAAUGUGAAAGCCCAGGGCUCAACCUUGGAAUUGCAUCCAAAACUGAUUGACUAGAGUACAGUAGAGGGGGGUAGAAUUUCCGGUGUAGCGGUGAAAUGCGUAGAGAUCGGAAGGAAUACCAGUGGCGAAGGCG